RNAcentral lists this ribosomal RNA (411 nucleotides) under uncultured Pantoea sp. Its description in RNAcentral is "bacterial SSU rRNA". It matches the Rfam family "Bacterial small subunit ribosomal RNA", at positions 338 to 742 of the family's 1533-position model. The record is from RNAcentral. Lineage: Bacteria; Pseudomonadati; Pseudomonadota; Gammaproteobacteria; Enterobacterales; Erwiniaceae.
CCUACGGGAGGCAGCAGUGGGGAAUCUUCCGCAAUGGGCGCAAGCCUGACGGAGCAACGCCGCGUGAGUGAAGAAGGUCUUCGGAUCGUAAAGCUCUGUUGUCGGGGACGAAAGGAAAGGGGAGGCAAUGCCCCUUUUAAGACGGUACCCGACGAGGAAGCCACGGCUAACUACGUGCCAGCAGCCGCGGUAAUACGUAGGCGGCAAGCGUUGUCCGGAAUUAUUGGGCGUAAAGGGAGCGCAGGUGGGACGGUAAGUCUGUCUUAAAAGGCAAGGGCUCAGCCCCUGUAAGGGACAGAAACUAUCGUUCUUGAGUGCCGGAGAGGAAAGCGGAAUUCCCAGUGUAGCGGUGAAAUGCGUAGAUAUUGGGAAGAACACCAGUGGCGAAGGCGGCUUUCUGGACGGCAACUG